Molecule: non-coding RNA, 354 nt
Organism: Bacillus sp. CAG:988
Lineage: Bacteria; Bacillati; Bacillota; Bacilli; Caryophanales; Bacillaceae
Source: Rfam
GGGGCUGUCUUGGGUUCGACGGGAUAGACGAAGAAUGAGUGGCAAGUGGAUGGCAAUCCUUACAUGCACAGUUAAAUAUAACUGGAAACAGAAAUUAUAAUUUAGCUUACGCUGUUUAAUUAAACAAGACUGAGCUGCUUAGUAGAUUUCUUUCUCUACGAGAUUUUUACUAGGCUAAUCAAAGUAGAGUAUAUCGAUAUUUUGUCUUAGGGUAUCGAUGAAUUGUAUAAGACUAGAAAUAAAAUUCAUUUGUUCGUUCUGAAUCUUAUUUCAAAUUUUAAAAACGGAAUAAACUUGUAGAAAUUCAUUUGGGAUUUAUUUCGGACAGGAGUUCAAUUCUCCUCAGCUCCACCA